GUAGGGAGAGAGAGAGAGAGAAGUAGGGAGAGAGAGAGAGAAGUAGGGAGAGAGAGAGAGAAGUAGGGAGAGAGAGAGAGAGAAGUAGGGAGAGAGAGAGAGAGAAGUAGGGAGAGAGAGAGAGAGAAGUAGGGAGAGAGAGAGAGAAGUAGGGAGAGAGAGAGAGAGAAGUAGGGAGAGAGAGAGAGAAGUAGGGAGAGAGAGAGAGAAGUAGGGAGAGACAGAGAGAGAAGUAGGGAGAGACAGAGAGAGAAGUAGGGAGAGAGAGAGAGAGAAGUAGGGAGAGACAGAGAGAGAAGUAGGGAGAGACAGAGAGAGAAGUAGGGAGAGAGAGAGAGAAGUAGGGAGAGAGAGAGAGAGAAGUAGGGAGAGAGAGAGAGAGAAGUAGGGAGAGAGAGAGAGAAGUAGGGAGAGAGAGAAGUAGGGAGAGAGAGAGAGAGAAGUAGGGAGAGAGAGAGAGAAGUAGGGAGAGACAGAGAGAAGUAGGGAGAGAGAGAGAGAAAAGUAGGGAGAGAGAGAGAGAAGUAGGGAGAGAGAGAGAGAGAAGUAGGGAGAGAGAGAGAAGUAGGGAGAGAGAGAGAGAAGUAGGGAGAGAGAGAGAGAGAAGUAGGGAGAGAGAGAGAGAAGUAGGGAGAGACAGAGAGAGAAGUAGGGAGAGAGAGAGAAGUAGGGAGAGAGAGAGAGAGAAGUAGGGAGAGAGAGAGAGA
This 707-nucleotide long non-coding RNA is filed under the name Salmo salar (Atlantic salmon). RNAcentral's name for it is "lncRNA (ENSSSAG00000099041.1)". Lineage: Eukaryota; Metazoa; Chordata; Actinopteri; Salmoniformes; Salmonidae. The record is from RNAcentral.